This 460-nucleotide ribosomal RNA is filed under the name uncultured bacterium. RNAcentral describes it as "partial 16S ribosomal RNA". It matches the Rfam family "Bacterial small subunit ribosomal RNA", at positions 338 to 795 of the family's 1533-position model. The record is from RNAcentral.
CCUACGGGUGGCAGCAGUGAGGAAUAUUGGUCAAUGGGCGCGAGCCUGAACCAGCCAAGUAGCGUGAAGGAUGACUGCCCUACGGGUUGUAAACUUCUUUUAUAAAGGAAUAAAGUGAGGCACGUGUGCCUGUUUGUAUGUAUUUUAUGAAUAAGGAUCGGCCAACUCCGUGCCAGCAGCCGCGGUAAUACGGAGGAUCCGAGCGUUAUCCGGAGUUAUUGGGUGUAAAGGGAGUGUAGAAGGGUUGGUAAGCCAGGUGUGAAAGUUGGCGGCUCAACCGUAAAAUUGCAAUUGAUACUGGGAGUCUUGAGUACAGUAGGGGUAGGCGGAAUUCGUGGUGUAGCGGUGAAAUGCGUAGAUAUCAGGAAGAACACCGAUUGCGAAGGCAGCAUACUAAACUGCCACUGACAUUGAGGCCCGAAAGUGUGGGUAGCAAACAGGAUUAGAUACCCUGGUAGUC